AAUAUUUCAACAAAUGGCUGACCCACAAAUUUCAGUGCAUACCAAAGCCAAAAAGUACAGCAAUACAUCAUGAUAAGCUAAUUUGAAAGCCAAAAGCUAAUUUCUUCCAAUUGACAUGAACCAAAUAGUUUGGGAUCUUUAUGGAUGUGCUAUCAAUUAGAAGUCUAAGCCCAAAGGUAAGGUACAGAUACAAAAAAGGCAGGAAAUGACUGCAUAUGUGUAGCUCAAUGAGGAAAUUAUUGCUCGGACAGUCGUGGUAAGGUGUUUGUCCUUACCAUUGGUGAUGGAGCAAUUCAAGUCCAGGCAGGAAAUAUCGUCUGGACUCAUGUCUAACAAUGCAACAGGACAUACACUCCUACAUCUCCCAGUGAGCAAAUUGACUUCCACCACGGUUUCCUAAUCCUUAAGAAGAUAAAGUUUGCAUCUUGAAAAUAUUUCAACAAAUGGCUGGCCCACAAAUUUCAGUGCAUACAAAAGCCAAAAAGUACAGCAAUCCAUCAAGAUAAGCUAAUUUGAUAGUCUUAUAAAUAGCUGCUGAAAUUGGCUAAUUUGUUCAUCACAAACGACAGCAAGCCCAACAUUCCAACCAGCACAUGUUAUCAUCCACCAGGACCCAUCAAUAUCUCAAGUUUUAUUUCGAGAAAUUCACAAGCACCAGUAUACAGCCAAAGACCACACCUUUGUACCCAUGAAACCUGGCAACACCCAAGAUAGAUACCGCGACGGCAGCAUAGGGGUGCUUAUCUCCUCG
Molecule: long non-coding RNA, 751 nt
Filed under: Triticum aestivum (bread wheat)
Lineage: Eukaryota; Viridiplantae; Streptophyta; Magnoliopsida; Poales; Poaceae
Description: long non-coding RNA (TAES_LNC008677)
Source: RNAcentral